This is a long non-coding RNA of Bactrocera dorsalis (oriental fruit fly), 1936 nucleotides long. RefSeq lists it as uncharacterized. The transcript is spliced from 2 exons. Lineage: Eukaryota; Metazoa; Arthropoda; Insecta; Diptera; Tephritidae. The record is from RefSeq and is a predicted model, not a curated record.
UUUCUACAAUAAAAGUCGACUUGGAAUAAAAUAUUCUAUGCAAGUUACGAAUAAUACGUUCGCUGUGUAACACAUAAAUCGGACUCUACGGAAUAUUAACUAAAAAUCGUUGAAAAUUCUCGGAAUUAUUUAUAGUUAUUGUUUAAAUAAAAAAUAUAUAUAUUCAAAUUAUUUGCAGGUGUAAUCAGAAAACUAAAGACAUGUAACGUUUUGCAGAUUGCUCUCAAAUGAACUGCGAAACGAAAAGCGCGUUAUAUUUGUAAUUUUUUAUUUAAUUAUUUUUCUUCUUUACUUCCAUAUAUGCAAUGCUCCAAAAGAGCAAAAAUUCGGGUCAACGGCCAGUUGAGUAAAAUAUUGCUAAAAAAAACGUGUUUGAUUCUUACGGAAGUUGUACCGUAGCCUAAAUGAAGUACAUGUAUUUAUUAAUACGAUAAAAAAGGGAAACUGAAAAAUAUCUGAAGUUGUGCAAAAUGUUUUUUUUUUUAUACAAAUUUAAAUAAUUUAGGCAGCAGGAAAUACGGGUUUAUAAAUUUGAUCUGCUUUCGAGUCUAUGCAAAAUACAUAACGGUAGAUGCUUAUUUUUAUGUUUUUAUAUUAGAGGAUAUAAAAAAAUAUAUUGCUAACGCGCCGUCAACUUCAGUAUUGGUGACGCGGGCUAAAUAAAUGCAAAGAAUGGAUGAAGAAGAGAGAAUCAUCAGGUAAUUCCAAUAAAAUAUAAAUAAUAUAUUAAACAAGUUUACAGUUUCAGUAAAGCUAGAUUCGAUAAGCCAUAUCUACAUUUUUUGCCAAAAGAAGGAAAAUACUUCUGUUAAAGAAUCUUAUGAAACCCGGAGCCAGCAUUGGACAAAUCUUUUCAAAUGUUUUUGUUAGAGUUUGAUAUUUAAACGAUAUUCAAUUUUAUAUACAUAUUUUGACUGAAAAAGGUAACCGUAAAAAAAAUAUUAAAAUUAAAACAUAUGAAUAUAUAUGUAUAUACCGACACAUACAUACUUAUAUACAUAAAUACAUAUUUAAUUAUAAAAUCUACUUACGAAAAUAGUUUAGCGUCUCACGUGUCUGCUCUUUGGUUAAGCCUAAACCUUCGGUAGGUAUUUCUAAUGCUGGUGCAGGGACAAACCAAUCCUGAUUGGAAUACCCAGAAAAGUCGGUUAAGAAAUCCGACCGCACUUUAUAUUUAGGAAUUUGUUCCUCCAAGAGGGAAAAUAUCUCGACUUCAGGUAUAUUUUCGCUACUACAUAGAUCUGAAAUAAAUAAUGUUAUUUUUAUUUUUUGAUAUAGUAACAUUCAUAUGUAUGUACAUAUAUAAUGUAUGCAAGCAUGCAUUUAAAAAGUUUUAAAGGACCAAAAUGGUAAUUAGCUAUUGGUAUCUUGUGGAAGCAGGUCAAAUAUUUUACUUCCUUUAUAAAAUAUUGCUGCAUACAUACAUUGUGAAUAUGCAUACAUAUGUACAUACACGCGAAAUUUUGUGUUUUAUACCUGUACAGCAGCCAGCAUCGACCAUUUGCACUGCAGCUUUGACAUUCUGUUGUUGUUGUGUAAGGCGCUUCGUUGCUAGUUUGGGUAAAUGUUUAUUAAGAGUAGCUUGUGCGGAUGGACUUAGCGGAGCGGAGGACCUCAUAGGCGUUGAAAGCAUAAAAAUGCUUGAUUCCUAGAAAAGUAAACACAUUUUUAAAAAUUAAUUAAUUCACCAAUAAUAAGGACUGUUUUCUCAAUGUCUGGUUAACUGCCAUCUCUCAGUUAAGUUCAGUUUAGAAAAUAAAGGUUUUUUAACGAAUGAAAUAAUCUUGGUUAACCAAAAGUUAACUAACAGAUGGUUGCUAACCAGACAUUUAUAAAACGGCAUUUAAAAUUUUAAAUACAUUUAUUUCAAAAAACAAAAAACAAUAUGAUUAUUUGUGUGAAACAAAUAAAUAAAAUUUUGUUUUUGGUCAACCCA